This is an RNA transcript of Hylaeus volcanicus, 3328 nucleotides long. It is a transcript of the gene named ubiquitin recognition factor in ER-associated degradation protein 1-like, with no coding region annotated. NCBI's taxonomy places the organism in Eukaryota, Metazoa, Arthropoda, Insecta, Hymenoptera, Colletidae. The transcript is spliced from 10 exons. The record is from RefSeq and is a predicted model, not a curated record.
AGUUUAAAUAUUUAAAGACAAUGUCUUAAAAUAACAGGCUUUUGUCUGUUCCUGUACUUUCCUGACAUUUGUUGUAACAUCAAUAUCUGUGUAGUACAAAUCCGUUUGUUUUCAACUAAAAUUUUUAAUUAAAAAAAAAUGUGGAAUUUUUCACGUUUUGCAGCUGAUUUCUUUAAUAGCGGUUUAAUUGAUUCUUACGAGGAAAAUGAUUCUGGUUUAGUUCCAUUUCAAGAAGAUUAUAAAUGUUAUUCAGUAACAUUUUUAGCAAGAGAUGAAAUGGAACGAGGGAACAAAAUUUUACUUCCAAGUUCUGCACUCGUAACUCUUUCUCGAAUGAAUGUAACGUGGCCUAUGAUUUUCUCAUUGGCCAAUCCAACGCUUGAUCGAGUAACACAUGGAGGUGUUUUAGAAUUCACAGCGGAAGAAGGUUGUUGUUAUUUGCCUUACUGGGUAAAAAACUCUUCUUCCUAAUCUAUUAAGUCUUUUAUAUAGGAAGAAGGUUAUGAAAAACCUUUUAUUAGGUGAAGGUGAUAUGAUAACUGUUUCUAAUACGACAUUACCUAAAGGGACUUAUGUUAAAAUACAACCAGUCACAAGUGAUUUUUUAGAUAUUUACGAUCAUCGUGAAGUACUUGAGCGUGCUUUAAGCCUAUUUUCUUGUUUAACAACUGGAGACAAUAUUGAAAUUCAUCAUCAAAAUAAGACUUUUGAAAUUGAAAUUGUGUGUAUGUAGGAAUGCCAACCUUCGCCUGCCAUUUCCAUUAUUGAAACGGAUGUUCAAGUGGAUUUCCUAGCUCCAAAAGAUUAUGUUGAGCCUAUUCGUCAAACGGAAGGAUUGGAAAAAAAAUUGAAAAGGAAAAAAGAGGAAGAGCUUGUUCCACAAACAAAUCCUCAAAGUACUUCAUCACUUAAUUUUGGUCAAAUCCUUACUUCAUCGAAUCUAACUCAAAAUACACUGAGUGAUACUUGCACUCCAAAACAAACGGGAACGUUAAGUUGUGAAAAGACCCCUCAACGUAUUCCCAAAGGCAUUCGGACAAAGUGUAAAGAAUAUUCCAAAUAUAUUCAAAGCAGUAGUUUUCUUAGUAAGACUGGGAAUCAUUCAUCCAACUCCUCCUCAUCCAUUGAGAACAAAUCAUCGCAGCCUAGUACAAAUUUCUCUCUGUUUAGUGGAGAAGGGAGGCAGUGUUAAUUAAUUUUUUUUAUAAAUUAAGUGUUUUGACUUUUCUUUUUUUUAUAACGGUAAACUUGUUUUCACAUAAAAACAGAUAAAAAAAAUCUGGACAAUAACUAAACCUUCCCUUUUAUUUCAUAACGUCACAGAAAGUCUAGCACACUGCUGAUCAGAAUUUAAGACGCUUAAACUGUUAAGCGGCCCAAUACAAGUUUAGGAGGCCCCUUCAUAAUGAUUCAAGACAACGCUGCUAAUUUUCCUCGUACUCCUAUUUUUUCGGCACCAGCUUCCUCAACAAUAACAAAAAUACAAAUAGCUUUAAAUAAUUUUUUAGUUCAGUUUCCUAAUUCUGUUUAUCAUAUUGUUGAGAGCGCUGGAAAAUGUGAAGAAAAUGAAACAAAUGAGGAAUCCAUGUUACGGUCAAAAAAUAUAAUUAAUGAAACAAGCGAUCAUUUAAGCUGUAUUUUGUCCUCCAUUACAGCAUUAAUACCAGAAUUACCUGAUUCAACACGUUCAGAGGAUUAUUAUAAAUUAAAAAUUAAACAACUCACUAAAGAAAACGAACUAUUAACAAAUGUUUUACACGACACUUUACAGGGUGUUAAAAAUCUUCAUCAACAUAUUGAAAAGGAAAUUUAUCUUUGUGCUGAUGCGUUAUGUGAUGGACCGCACGUUUAACAUUGGUUUCAGUUUGCAUCGCUCGACAAUGACAUAUGAACUCUCGUCGCGGUCUGCAUGUUAAACUCAUAUGAAAAUAACCAAAAUUUUUUUUUUAUUUCCGUUGAUUUUUAACGCCAUUGUUUAAAAAUGAAUUUCAUGUUUUAAAAUUUUUAGGUAGGUGAAUAAUUAAAGUACAAUGCAAAAAAAAUACUCUAUAGUUCAAUAAUCAAAGUUUUGAUAAUUCGAAAAAGGAGAAUACACUCAUAAGCUUAUGUGUUUUUAUAAUUUAUAUCUAGCUGCAAAUGGUUUUAAAAUUUUUCUUCAUUUUUGAAUCGUUUUUUCGAAUAUUUUCCCUACAUAUACGUCUCGUUUGUGAAAUCCAAUAAUGAUAGUUAAAUCAAGCAGGAAGAUUUCUUUCAAUAACUUAAAAAAAAAUAGAAUAAAACAUAUUAAAGUCAGAAUUGAAAGAGUGACUGUUAUAAUUUCUUGUCGCAUCCACUAUGAAGUCAAAAAUUAAACCAGUAAAAUGGCUUACAUUGAUAGUGUUAUAAGAGAGAGUUAGUUAGUUACAAGCAUGUAAAAAUGAGUAAUGAUAAGGAAAAUAAACAAAAAGAUAAUAAGGUUCGAGAAGCGUGACUUUUUUGAUAAGAAUCGAAAGCAUUGGUAGAUGUGUCGUCAUUAUAUGUUGGCGAUGGACCUGGUUUUACGAAACAGAAAUAAUACAUAUAGAGUUUUUUUUUAAUUCGAUAUGGUGUUAGUGCCCAAUGAUAUUUUCCUUGAAGACUGGCAAUGAAAGAAUCAUCUCCUGGACAAUUUGGUAAACCUAGAAUUUUAAAGGAUUUGUCUUUACAAAAACGACAGGCAGCAUAAGCGGAGAACGGAUCACAUACACCUUUAUGUUGAAUAUAAAAUUGACAAUUUGGUAUUGUAGCCCAUGCUUUUGGACCUAUGUUGACCGUCUUAUCAUUAUAAAGUUCAUCAUCUCGGUAUUCCCCUUGUGAUAGAGAGUUCUCCUGUAAAUGAUUAUGGCUAUGAAUAGAGCUUUUAUAGUCGUCAGUAAGAAGAUUUCGUUGAACACGUGUUUCCAAUUCGUAAUUGACAUGAUCUAAAGUGGAAGGUUGGCUGGCAUAAUUAUCUGACAACUUAUUUGCCAACAAAAAAGUAGUAGGUUUAUGAUCAAAGUUAAAAAAAAGCGGAAUGGUAACAAAAAAAAAACUAUUAAAAUUCAAUAAUACAAUAAAACGUUUUGUUAAUAACCAUGCGAUAAACAUUUUUUAAAUCUAAUGUCCAAAAAUAAUUUUUGAUUUUAGAAUACAGUUUUUGUUUCCUGAUUGAUUGAUUAAAUCUUAUCGGCCACUUGGCUUUUGGGUUUUAGUAUAGUUAACUUUUGUGUAUUUCAAAAAAUUUUUUUUCCCUUAUAGCCAAUUUUUUUUGUAUUGACAUAGUUUUGUUUGAAAUAUAAAAAAUGCACAUUUUUUUUAAUAAUAAAAUUAU